CAGUCGCCACGGUAAUACGGAGGGGGCUAGCGUUGUUCGGAAUUACUGGGCGUAAAGCGCACGUAGGCGGCGAUUUAAGUCAGAGGUGAAAGCCCGGGGCUCAACCCCGGAACUGCCUUUGAAACUAGGUGACUAGAAUCUUGGAGAGGUCAGUGGAAUUCCGAGUGUAGAGGUGAAAUUCGUAGAUAUUCGGAAGAACACCAGUGGCGAAGGCGACUGACUGGACAAGUAUUGACGCUGAGGUGCGAAAGCGUGGGGAGCAAACAGGAUUAGAUACCCCCGUAGUCCCUGUCUCUUAUAA
RNAcentral lists this ribosomal RNA (301 nucleotides) under uncultured bacterium. RNAcentral's name for it is "partial 16S ribosomal RNA". It matches the Rfam family "Bacterial small subunit ribosomal RNA", at positions 509 to 809 of the family's 1533-position model. The record is from RNAcentral.